GACGAACGCUGGCGGCGUGCCUAAUACAUGCAAGUCGAGCGAGCUUGCCUAGAUGAUUUUAGUGCUUGCACUAAAUGAAACUAGAUACAAGCGAGCGGCGGACGGGUGAGUAACACGUGGGUAACCUGCCCAAGAGACUGGGAUAACACCUGGAAACAGAUGCUAAUACCGCAUAACAACAAAAACCACAUGGCUUUUGUUUGAAAGAUGGCUUUGGCUAUCACUCUGGGAUGGACCUGCGGUGCAUUAGCUAGUUGGUAAGGUAACGGCCCACCAAGGCGACGAUCAGUAGCCGGACUGAGAGGUUGAACGGCCACAUUGGGACUGAGACACGGCCCAG
This 340-nucleotide ribosomal RNA is filed under the name uncultured bacterium. RNAcentral's name for it is "bacterial SSU rRNA". It matches the Rfam family "Bacterial small subunit ribosomal RNA", at positions 28 to 334 of the family's 1533-position model. The record is from RNAcentral.